Molecule: long non-coding RNA, 638 nt
Organism: Solanum lycopersicum (tomato)
Lineage: Eukaryota; Viridiplantae; Streptophyta; Magnoliopsida; Solanales; Solanaceae
Source: RefSeq, a predicted model, not a curated record
GCUCAUGUGGUUUUAUUAUCGGUUAUUAGUAGCUUCCACAGUUAAGUCAGACUCUAUUGCAUUGACCAUUUGUCAGUAUAUUCACUAUUUAGUUUCAACAUGUUAUGAAUUGGUCAUGGAAUUCAGUUAUCUCCUCAUUCAGUAUAUCAUGUUUAGAAAAAUUUUACUUGCUUUUUUUCUUGUUCUGUUAUGUCAGACUCUAUUGCAUUGACCAUUUGUUAGUAUAUUCACUAUUUAGUUUCAACAUGUUAUAAAUUGGUCAUGGCAUUUAAUUAUCUCCUCAUUCAGUAUAUCAUGUUUAGAAAAUUUUUACUUGCUUUUGUUCUUGUUCUGUUAUGUUUUAGUUCAGCUUUACUCUAUAGUUUAUGCUCAGUACCUUUCAAGUACUAACACAUACGUCUGCUACAUCUUCUCGUGAUGUCGGUUAAGGUUCACAGCAUCCCGAUCACGCUUAGAUCGACUUCCGAUCUCUAUUUUAGCAGAAGUAGUGAUGUUGAUGACUAGAGGAUGUCUCCUAAAUGAAGGGCUUGGAUAGAUCUCCCAAUUUCAAGAAAAAGGAAUCUUAUGGUUCCGUCGUUGAAGAAUUUGGAAGGCGGCAUUGUUGAAGGCUUGAAUUCUUCCUUUCAUCCAAGUGAGGU